This is a long non-coding RNA of Prunus persica (peach), 2934 nucleotides long. RefSeq lists it as uncharacterized. NCBI's taxonomy places the organism in Eukaryota, Viridiplantae, Streptophyta, Magnoliopsida, Rosales, Rosaceae. The transcript has 3 exons. The record is from RefSeq and is a predicted model, not a curated record.
UAGAAGUAGCCCCUUGGGGGUGAGUGUGUGCCAUUUGAUUUUUUAUUUCAGAAUUAAGAAAGAGAAUCCAACCAAAAAUAUAUAUAUUAUUGAGGCGGCAUGAAAGAGCUUUGAGUUUGAGUUUUGUGCAGCCAUGGAUAUCAUCACUAGCAGACUUGAGAGAAUUGAGCUUGAGAUUUAUGAGGCAGAAAAGGAAAAGCUUCAAAGGGAGGAAACUCUGGGGGCUUUCUGGGAACACAUGCCUGCUAUUGAUCCAAUUCUCAUAUGAGAUCGUAUGCUCUCUCUCCAAAACCAAAUAUGCUCACUCGAAAGCAAGAAGAAGGCCCUGUUCAAAGAACAGCAACAUCUCCUUGUGCAGGCUGUUACUCUUGGGUGACAAAUUCUAAUUGUCUUUUUUAUUGAAGCUUGUACAAAAAAUCUAUAUAUACAUAUAUAUAUAUAUAUUCGUGACAGAAUUAUGGGUUAGCUAGUAUGACUGGCAGUUAAAGAAAGGAGACAUUAUUUCAAGGCUUUUGGAAUUGAGAGAGACUGAUCCAAAGUACUUGAGACAGUGUUCGUAAAAAAAAAAAAACCCUAAACCCGCCUAGGCGCUAGGGGCCCGCCUAGGUCCUUUUAUUUAUUUAUUAAUUAUUAAUUAUUGACUUUAAAGAAAACCUGUCUAUAACUUGAUGAUCAGAGCAUAUGUGUGUACAAAAAUCAGUGCAGUGGAUGAAACUCUUUCUUCGUUUGGGUGUUGAUGCUGCUGCAUAAGCAAAUUCUCUGCGAUGGCAUUUCCUGUAAUUGUCUCAGUUUUCCGUUCCUUGUAAAAGAAUGCACGAGUAGGGUUGAUGGCGGCACACAGGCUGGAGCUUCCAUAUAGAUAUGAUGUUUUUAGUUCAAAAUUCGUUGAUUGGUAUGUACUCUGCAUGUGGGUUUCUGAAUAGUGCACGUACAUUGUUUGAUGAAAUGUUGGAAAGGGAUGUUGUUUCGUGGAACUCGAUGAUUAAGGCAAUGAAUCUGUUUGGGAAGAUGAACAAGAGAAACAUUAUUACUUGGAAUUCCAUGAUUACUGGGUUUUUUUCAAGGUGGUCAGCCAUGGAACUUUUCCAUGAAAUGCAGAUCACCAGUGGUGAUAUGGUUAGGCCGGAUAAGAUCACAAUUGCCAGUGUCCUUGUAGCUUUGUGCUCAUCUGGGUGCAACUGAUCAUGGGAUAUGGGUGCAUGGGUACCUGAGGAGUGCCUAGAGAGUGAUGUGGUCAUUGGGACAGAAAUUCAUGUCUUCCCUCAAAAGCCCCUUUUUUGUUAAUUUUAUUUGCUUGCAGAAAUACAUGUCUAUAUGUUGAAGAAGGAAGUUCUUUCCAUGAUUGAACAUGAGGUUUCUGUUUGUAGUUUCAAUUGUUCAAACACACACAAAUACACGUGGACAACCUGGUGUGGCUAGCAAACCGAUAACUGUUGUAUAUUGUAUAUUGUUUUAGGGUGUCCAUGAUAAAUCAUUCAACGUCAAUAUUUAUAUUGCUUUCAUCAUAAGUUAUUGUUGUUUGUUUAGCAAAUGGUACAUUUACUGCUUUUCAUGAUAUAAUAUUCUAGUUCUACUAUCCACUCAUCUAUGAUUUUUUUGGGUGCAGAAAACUCUAGUAAGUUCAUUCGGUCAAUCACACGAAGCUGCUCCACCUCAUCUACAUUAUCCUGGUCUUCCUCCCGAAAAGGCCUCCUUAGAUCUAGCUCCAGAAGUUCUUCGAAACGGACUCAUUUCAAUGGUGGUCUUUUUUAUAACAAUGGAGCAAUGGGAUCUAGAUGCCAUUCGUUAACACUAGGAAAGCUAUAUGCUUGGGAGAAAAAACUCUAUAUGAGGAGGUGAAGGCUGGAGAGGAAACCAUGAGAAUAUAUGAGCGAAAACACUCCCAAUCGAGACAUGGCCUAAAGACCGGGGACAAAAUUGGAGUUGAAGUUGAGGAGUUGCGUUCCAGAAUUUUGGUUGCCAUAAGAAAUUCUGAAUAAUCAGUCUUCAAAAAAUUCAAAAGCUGAGAGAUGAAGAGAUGCAUCCACAACUUGUUGAGUUGCUACAUGGGCUAAUGAGGAACUGGAAGAUAAUGCCAGUAUCUCAUGAAACCUAAAAGAGAAUCAUGUCUGAACUGAAAAUUUUCAAUUGGUCAUCCUAUGGAAAGUUCUCUAAUGAGUCACACCAGCUUGCUACUCAAAAGCUUGAAGCAGAACUUCAAAAUUGGCGUGCAUGCAUUGCAGAAUAUGUUUCUUCGCAGAUGUCGUAUAUUGAAGCUCUUCAUGGCUGGCUACACAAGUUUGUUACCCCUGAAACUGAAUCUUACACAGGAGCUUGGUUUUCACUUCGACCGUCUAAAGUCAACAUGAUACUUUCACUUGAAAUUUGUCACAAUUGGUUAGUUUGCCUAGAUAAGCUGCCAGAUAAAGAUGUCACUUGUGCCAUGAAAAGUUUUGGGAAGGAUGUACAAGCCUUGAUGGUCCAACAAGGCAAGGAGCAUCAACAAAAGAGGAAGGUUGAUGGGCUUGCCAGAAAAUAUCCUAGGAAGGUUUUGGCAUUUGAAAUAAUGAAAAGUAUUCUUCAGUUGAAGUUUUUUGAGAAGGAAAUGAAAUUGCAUGCACAAAAAGGCUUGACAAAGAUGGAGAACGAGUUGCGUGGAGAUGGCGAAACAUCAUACCAGCAUGAAGGACACAAAAUAUUACAGUGAAUGGAUUUCAGAAGGGGUUUUCGUCAGUUUUUGAAUCCUUGACUGAGUUUUCAAAAAGUGCUAUGAAAAUGUAUAAUGAAUUUAUAACAUUUAGUGAGAAUGCAAUGAGGGCAGAUGACACAAGUAGCAAACCACCUGGCAGCAUCCAUGUUGAAGCCGAUGACAGUUGAAAAAACAUUAUGUUUCAAGGGAUUUGAGAAUGUUAGGAACUUUUUAAUUUUUUAUUAUUACAUUUAUUUUUUAGGAAA